Molecule: long non-coding RNA, 2469 nt
Organism: Hemibagrus wyckioides
Lineage: Eukaryota; Metazoa; Chordata; Actinopteri; Siluriformes; Bagridae
Exons: 3
Source: RefSeq, a predicted model, not a curated record
CAAGGGCUGUAAGGUAUUUUAGUCACGUGGUGUGAAAGCAGACCGACAGGUGUAGGACAUUAAAGUAUCGCGAGAGCAGUUCUAGAGACUACUCCAGCACACACUCUCGCGGUAUUGUGGCGCGAGCGUGUGUGUGUGUUUGUUCGCGCGCUCGUGCGGAGAGAGAUGUCAGUCAAACUCGUGUACAGUAAACGGCAACAGUGCUCUAAUAAAACGAUCAACAUUUCAUUAAUUCCUCUACACUCCGGUGGCAAAAUUCGGGAUAAAACAUUCAGGGCUAGAUUAAAAUCAUCCGGGGCUCAAGCCCCGAAUGAAUAGCCCUCGACGCCCCUGGAACAGAACACAAACAUUUCCCCUGUUUCUAAUCCAUCCUAGUAAUAAUCAUGAGAUCUACAUCACACUUCCUUCCUUACAAAGGAUCAUUAACGCACCAUACACUCUGGUUUGCACAGAACUCUUCAAUACACCAAUAUUUUCGCAGGACUCAGAAACACACAGUUUUUGCUCAAGCCCGGUUUUUGCACGUCACCUCACUAGGUUGUGCAUACUGUCAAAGUGUAUAUGUUGAAACUGGGAAAAAUCACACUUUUAACCCAGCAAUACCAGGAGUUAUUGAAUUGGGGGACUGGAGAUGCAAUGACAAGUUGGUAGUUGACUAGGACGCUAAAUCUGAGCCUCACUGGUAUCCUAAUUACAAAGGACGAGCAAGUGUUAACACUGACAAUGGAGACCUCACACUUCAGGUGAAGAAGCAAGACAGCGGUAUAUUUAAGGCCCAACUCCAGAUACAAGGAAAUCUGAAGUAUUUUGAACAUACGCUUAAAGUGAUGGAUCCAGUUCCUCAGCCAAAAGUGACUUGUAAGCAGAUUGGAACAAAUGUAACACUUUUGUGUUCAGUGGACCCUCCAGUGCAGGCAGAAUUUAAGUGGUCCGGACCAAAUGGGUUCUCUCAUGUUGGGAAUAGUGUUCAUAUCACCGGAAAACAAAAUGAGGAUUCAAUCUAUUUCUGCACUGCAAAAAAUGAAGUGAGCGAAAAGUCAGCAGAGUUUAAUCUUAUGGACUGUCUUAUGGACCAUCCUCUUGCCAUCCCAAGCCAUCUUGUUGCCUUAUAUACUACAGUUUUCUAUAAUGUUGUUCUGAUUUGUGCACUAGCUUUUCUCAACUGCAAUUACUAUAAUGUAAACAAUGAUGAGGAUGUGAUUACCACUGUAGAAUUUCGUUUUGUAAGUGAUGGCUUUCAAACUUCCAAGUCAUUGUAUUACUGAAUCAAUGUGAUCAGCCUCAGUAGGUUAACUGGAGAAAUCAUCUUUAGCAUUGUACUGCCAGUCAGCUUAGCUUACUCAUACAUACACACUGCAAGCAAAAGAAACAGCUUUAUCACAUGUCAAAUAUAGUUUACAUUUAGAAAAACAAGUAUAUGGCUAAAAUGAAGGGUUCUCUCUAAAAAAAUGUCAUGACAAAAUGAGCUGGUAAGAGGGUUCAGUGAAUUAAAUACAUAUAAAGGAAAGGCCAAGAAACAUGUUAAGGGCAUAGAAUUUUAAACUUCACGGCAGUUUAUUAUAUAUAAUAUAUCUAGUAGAUCCAAUGGACAGAGGGUAGGAUUGCAGCACAAGAUGACUUGCAGUAUCUCUUCUGUUUGCUAGAUGAAAAGAAUGUGCCAGAGAAAGAAGAGGGGAAUCCUGAAUGUGUAGUGUAGGAGUUAAAGGUUUGGCAGACUUUUCUUUUUUCAAUCAUAAAAGGUGGCAAAGCAGUCUGGUAGGUUAAGAAGCGAAGAAAUGAUUUGUGUAGCUUGUGCAUACCUUGGGAAAAUGGUAAAACUCUAGAAAAUUUUAAUAAAAAAAAUUAUUAGGAAAUUAUUUUUUACUUAAAUACUUAGAUAUUUUUGCACAUAAACAUUUUUUGAGUUUAACUCCAAUACCAGCUCCAUGAUCUCUUUAACCCUCUGAUGCAUGAAUUAUGAAAGCCUGUUUCAAGAUUUUUUCCUUAAGUGUUUGUAUUCUUCUUCUUAAAACAGUAUGAACUUAAAUUGUGUUUUAUGGUAAAUCCAUGAACAAUUAUUUCAAUUUAUGAAACAUUUUAACAUAUUUUCACACAUUUUAACAUUGUACAGGCCUAUGGUUUAGUUUACCUGUCAAUUCCGCUUGUAGCCUAUACAAUAGCUAAAUGCCAGAAAACCUCAUGUACUGUCAGAAUACUACGUUUUAGAUGUAAAUUAAAAUGGCGUAGCUGUACAAAAAUGAUAAUAAUGUGCACCAUCAGUUUUAUUUGCAGCAAAGCACACCAUCACAGAAUGUGAGCUGCAUUAUUAUAAUAACAAUAAUAAUUGUUACUCACACAGACUACACCUAAUCUGCACAAAACUGUAUAUUUUUAAAUGAAUACCCUAUAAAUAUAGCAAAUAUUUACGAACAAAACAGUGUCAGGAACAGCUGGACAGUUCCCUGCCAGGCCAAGAGAGGGCGCUGGCAG